AGAGCAAAUAAAAAAACCGGUUCUUUAGGCGCUCAUGUUGAAUUACCAACUUGCUUAGAGAUCAAAAGGGAAGACGGUGUAAUUCCGUCGCGGUCCCGCCGCUGUAAUCGGGGACAAAAGCCGCUAAAAAGCCACUGGCGAAAAAAAUCGUUGGGAAGGCGCGGCGAGUAGGUUGAUCCGUAAGUCAGAAGACCUACCGGUUUUGAAGAUUUCCG
Molecule: non-coding RNA, 215 nt
Filed under: Dethiosulfatarculus sandiegensis
Lineage: Bacteria; Pseudomonadati; Thermodesulfobacteriota; Desulfarculia; Desulfarculales; Desulfarculaceae
Source: RNAcentral